This 495-nucleotide ribosomal RNA is filed under the name uncultured bacterium. RNAcentral describes it as "partial 16S ribosomal RNA". It matches the Rfam family "Bacterial small subunit ribosomal RNA", at positions 28 to 507 of the family's 1533-position model. The record is from RNAcentral.
GACGAACGCUGGCGGCGUGCCUAAUACAUGCAAGUAGAACGCUGAAGGAGGAGCUUGCUUCUCUGGAUGAGUUGCGAACGGGUGAGUAACGCGUAGGUAACCUGCCUGGUAGCGGGGGAUAACUAUUGGAAACGAUAGCUAAUACCGCAUAAGAGUAGAUGUUGCAUGACAUUUGCUUAAAAGGUGCAAUUGCAUCACUACCAGAUGGACCUGCGUUGUAUUAGCUAGUUGGUGGGGUAACGGCUCACCAAGGCGACGAUACAUAGCCGACCUGAGAGGGUGAUCGGCCACACUGGGACUGAGACACGGCCCAGACUGCUACGGGAAGCAGCAGUAGGGAAUCUUCGGCAAUGGACGGAAGUCUGACCGAGCAACGCCGCGUGAGUGAAGAAGGUUUUCGGAUCGGAAAGCUCUGUUGUAAGAGAAGAACGAGUGUGAGAGUGGAAAGUUCACACUGUGACGGUAUCUUACCAGAAAGGGACGGCUAACUACGUG